GAAAAUUUGCUCUUUUAGUAUUUGUCUAGUAGGGUCCAAAAAGUAAUGGACCCCCU
Small nuclear RNA from Pygocentrus nattereri (red-bellied piranha), 56 nucleotides. Its record names the gene U7. It matches the Rfam family "U7 small nuclear RNA". Rfam says of the family: Animal histone pre-mRNAs are spliced by a different mechanism than nuclear pre-mRNAs and self-splicing introns. This processing involves the U7 snRNP, which contains only one RNA species: U7. The 5' end of U7 RNA is thought to base-pair to a conserved spacer element downstream of the cleavage site in histone pre-mRNA. The record is from Ensembl. NCBI's taxonomy places the organism in Eukaryota, Metazoa, Chordata, Actinopteri, Characiformes, Serrasalmidae.